RNAcentral lists this microRNA (22 nucleotides) under Notamacropus eugenii (tammar wallaby). Its description in RNAcentral is "Neu-Mir-9-P4_5p* (star (passenger))". RNAcentral also lists the same sequence under 1 other name. Lineage: Eukaryota; Metazoa; Chordata; Mammalia; Diprotodontia; Macropodidae. The record is from RNAcentral.
UCUUUGGUUUCCUAGCUGUGUG